This 912-nucleotide ribosomal RNA is filed under the name bacterium. RNAcentral describes it as "bacterial SSU rRNA". It matches the Rfam family "Bacterial small subunit ribosomal RNA", at positions 90 to 1011 of the family's 1533-position model. The record is from RNAcentral.
AUUUAGCGGCGGACGGGUGAGUAACACGUGGGCAACCUACCUGUAAGACUGGGAUAACUUCGGGAAACCGGAGCUAAUACCGGAUAAUUUCUUUUCUCGAUGAGAAGGAUGGAAAGACGGUUUCGGCUGUCAUUACAGAUGGGCCCGCGCGCAUUAGCUAGUUGGUGAGGUAACGGCUCACCAAGGCCACGAUGCGUAGCCGACUGAGAGGGUGAUCGGCCCACUGGGACUGAGACACGGCCCAGACUCCUACGGGAGGCCAGUAGGGAAUCUUCCGCAAUGGACGAAAGUCUGACGGAGCAACGCCGCGGAGCGAAGAAGGCCUUCGGGUCGUAAAGCUCUGUUGUUGGGAAGAACAAGUACCAGAGUAACUGCUGGUACCUUGACGGUACCUAACCAGAAAGCACGGCUAACUACGUGCCAGCAGCCGCGGUAAUACGUAGGUGGCAAGCGUUGUCCGGAAUUAUUGGGCGUAAAGCGCGCGCAGGUGGUCUUAAGUCUGAUGUGAAAGCCCCGGCUCAACCGUGGAGGGUCAGGAAACUGGGGAACUUGUGCAGAAGAGGAAAGUGGAAUUCCACGUGUAGCGGUGAUGUUUUUUAGAUGUGGAGGAACACCAGUGGCGAAGGCGACUUCUGGUCUGCAACUGACACUGAGGCGCGAAAGCGUGGGGAGCGAACAGGAUUAGAUACCCUGGUAGUCACGCCGUAAACGGAGUGCUAAGUGUUAGAGGGUUUCCGCCCUUUAGUGCUGCAGCUAACGCAUUAAGCACUCCGCCUGGGGAGUACGGCCGCAAGGCUGAAACUCAAAGGAAUUGACGGGGGCCCGCACAAGCGGUGGAGCAUGUGGUUUAAUUCGAACAACGCGAAGAACCUUACCAGGUCUUGACAUCCUCUGCCACUCCUAGAGAUAGGA